This 66-nucleotide non-coding RNA is filed under the name unclassified sequences. The record is from RNAcentral.
UAAAUCUCCUCGAAUUGUAGCAUUCACUGCUUGCGUUCCGCUUGACGGAUAGAGGAGAUUUUUAUG